Molecule: long non-coding RNA, 554 nt
Organism: Gekko japonicus
Lineage: Eukaryota; Metazoa; Chordata; Lepidosauria; Squamata; Gekkonidae
Exons: 3
Source: RefSeq, a predicted model, not a curated record
CUCAUUUCCGGGUGGACCUGGAAAGGUCAGAGGGAGAGAUCUGUUGCAAGCCAGGCAGCGAGGUAGGUUGGCAGCACAUUAUGGGCCUUAAAACCAUUUGGAAGAACUACAGACUUCUGAUUGUUAUGGGAACUGGCCUUGCGCUGGUACACUGGGGUUGGUAUAACGUCCAGUCCAGUCCUGUUUUUCAACCCAAGAGAGAUGAUUUUGUCCCAGAGCCUGGUAUCGUGACGUACGUGCUGGAACAAGAGAGACGGGCAAAGGGAAAGUAGCUGUACCCUGCUGCGGAGUCACAGAAAGGUCUAUUUGCGGCAACCUUUUUCUUUUUACGUCUCUGUGAACAAAGAUGAAGAAGAUCAGCUGGAUCAGAAAGAACUGGCUCCUGGUGGCCGGGGUGGCCUUUGUCAGCGUCCAUCUCGGUACCUACCUUCUCCAGAGGGCCGCCAAGAACUCCGCGAAAUCAGGCCUGGAGAUUAAACAAAAGGAUCUUGACAAGUGAAGCUUUGCCCUCCGCCGUGUCACGUUUCGCACUCGCCUCGUCACUCGCUUAGCUA